Molecule: non-coding RNA, 24 nt
Filed under: Cricetulus griseus (Chinese hamster)
Lineage: Eukaryota; Metazoa; Chordata; Mammalia; Rodentia; Cricetidae
Source: RNAcentral
CAGAAGGUAUGAGGACUAAGGACC